Molecule: small RNA, 26 nt
Filed under: Bombyx mori (domestic silkworm)
Lineage: Eukaryota; Metazoa; Arthropoda; Insecta; Lepidoptera; Bombycidae
Description: ovarian small RNA-29106
Source: RNAcentral
UCGUACAGUGUCUCGAUCGUUACGGG